Molecule: ribosomal RNA, 301 nt
Filed under: uncultured bacterium
Lineage: Bacteria
Description: partial 16S ribosomal RNA
Rfam family: Bacterial small subunit ribosomal RNA
Source: RNAcentral
CAGUAGCCGCGGUAAUACAGAGGGUGCGAGCGUUAAUCGGAUUUACUGGGCGUAAAGCGUGCGUAGGCGGCUAAUUGAGUCGGAUGUGAAAUCCCCGAGCUUAACUUGGGAAUUGCAUUCGAUACUGGUUAGCUAGAGUGUUGGAGAGGAUGGUAGAAUUCCAGGUGUAGCGGUGAAAUGCGUAGAGAUCUGGAGGAAUACCGAUGGCGAAGGCAGCCAUCUGGCCUAACACUGACGCUGAGGUACGAAAGCAUGGGGAGCAAACAGUAUUAGAUACCCGCGUAGUCCCUGUCUCUUAUAC